This 144-nucleotide small RNA is filed under the name Marinobacter subterrani. RNAcentral's name for it is "RtT RNA". Lineage: Bacteria; Pseudomonadati; Pseudomonadota; Gammaproteobacteria; Pseudomonadales; Marinobacteraceae. The record is from RNAcentral.
UUUAUUGGCCGAUUGGCAGGGUAAGAAGAACCCUCGCGGGUUCGACCGAAGCCUGCAGCGCAGGCUGAGGAACGUCGGAGCAAAGCGACGACGGCCCCGAAGGGGUGAGGGCCAAAGGCCCGAAUAAUCCCUCCCAAGCGGGUC